GGUCCUACGGAAGGCAGCAGUGGGGAAUAUUGCACAAUGGGGGAAACCCUGAUGCAGCGACGCCGCGUGAAGGAAGAAGUAUUUCGGUAUGUAAACUUCUAUCAGCAGGGAAGAAAAUGACGGUACCUGACUAAGAAGCCCCGGCUAACUACGUGCCAGCAGCCGCGGCAAUACGUAGGGGGCAAGCGUUAUCCGGAUUUACUGGGUGUAAAGGGAGCGUAGGCGGUGCAGCAAGUCAGAAGUGAAAGCCCGGGGCUCAACUCCGGGACUGCUUUUGCAACUGUUGAAC
RNAcentral lists this ribosomal RNA (289 nucleotides) under uncultured bacterium. RNAcentral describes it as "partial 16S ribosomal RNA". It matches the Rfam family "Bacterial small subunit ribosomal RNA", at positions 335 to 641 of the family's 1533-position model. The record is from RNAcentral.